UACUAUAUUUAGUCAGUCUUCGGUAGAGGUAAAGAUCCCUAAACUUGGUUACCAUUAUAAAUAUAUAUAUGUUAUUGAUUCGUAAUGUUGGAUUGACAUCGUAAGAUUUAUAUUGAUAAAUUUAGUUUGGCAUGUGAUGGUAUGAUUUAUAUAAUUUCUAGUACAAAUAUACUUGUACGGAUAUUAUAUGUAUCAGUUAUUAGCAGCAUGAUUAUGUGAACAAUGAUAUCCUAAAUUUAAGAGAAAUGCACUAUGUAAGUAGAAAUUUAUUUAACAAGAGUAACAUAUAAAUCAGACAAAUAAGAUAAGGUUUGGACUAACCUUGUCAUAGGAUAGUCUCUAUGGGCUUACGCGUGAGAUAGCGUUCACAGGCUUACGCAUGGGAUAGUUUCCACAAGCUUAUGCGUGGGAUAGCGUCCAUGGGCUUACGCAUAGGAUUUUGUCAGUCUUGGAUUGGGCCAUGAUCUUUGUUAGUCCAAAGUGGAAAAAAUAUUGCUUUAAUACGAAACGAA
Molecule: long non-coding RNA, 512 nt
Filed under: Phoenix dactylifera (date palm)
Lineage: Eukaryota; Viridiplantae; Streptophyta; Magnoliopsida; Arecales; Arecaceae
Description: long non-coding RNA (PDAC_LNC020436)
Source: RNAcentral